GGUCCUUGGUCGGUGUGGCAUCCCAAACUUAAUACGACAAUUUUCGAAGUUUGCUGUGGUUUUUAUCGUUGCUUGCAUCGGAAGGGGGUUAUCAUGCAGCAAGAACGGUCUAUAAAGGUCAAAUGAGUAGAGAGAGAAAAUACGGAGACACCUUAAACGCAAAUCCUCAAUUCCCAAAUUUUCGUCCGUGGUGAAAAGCACCGAAGUAAGUCA
Molecule: long non-coding RNA, 213 nt
Filed under: Bemisia tabaci
Lineage: Eukaryota; Metazoa; Arthropoda; Insecta; Hemiptera; Aleyrodidae
Description: lncRNA ENSSSA3NGG005719
Source: RNAcentral